UACGUAGGGGGCAAGCGUUGUCCGGAAUCAUUGGGCGUAAAGCGCGUGUAGGCGGCCCGGUAAGUCCGCUGUGAAAGUCCAGGGCUCAACCCUGGGAUGCCGGUGGAUACUGUCGGGCUCGAGUCCGGAAGAGGCGAGUGGAAUUCCUGGUGUAGCGGUGAAAUGCGCAGAUAUCAGGAGGAACACCGAUGGCGAAGGCAGCUCGCUGGGACGUGACUGACGCUGAGACGCGAAAGCGUGGGGAGCGAACAGG
This 253-nucleotide ribosomal RNA is filed under the name uncultured bacterium. RNAcentral's name for it is "partial 16S ribosomal RNA". It matches the Rfam family "Bacterial small subunit ribosomal RNA", at positions 524 to 776 of the family's 1533-position model. The record is from RNAcentral.